AGACCUGUUAAAUCUUCUGAUCCAAUUGAUGUUCUUAACAUCAAAUUAAAACGGUUCAAGAAAUUCUUUAAAGGAUGGGGAUCUGAUAAAUUUGGUCAUGAAAAGAAGAGAAUUUUUUUUAUCAAAAAGGAACUUGCACACAUAGAAUCUAUGGAAGAUCAAGGACUCCUCGACUCUGAUAUGUUAGACAAACGUGAUACCCUUAGUGGUGAGCUACAACAGCUUAUGGUUAAUGAGGAACUAUUCUGGCUCCAACAGUCCCAUGAAACAUGGCUACUGAAAGGAGACUAGAAUACUGCCUUUUUCCAUAGGAUAGCCAAUGGAAAGAAGAGGAAAAAUACCAUUCAUUCCUUCUCACAUGGUGACACCACCAUUGAGGGGACGGGUAACUUGCUUAAACACGCUACGGAGUUCUACAAGGAACUUUUCAGACCGGCACCUGGAAAUCUGUUCCAUUUAGAUCCUGAUACUUGGUGGGGUAAUGAAAAGCUAACGGCUGAGGAAAAUGAAUUUUUGACUAGACCGUUCAGCGAGGAGGAGGUCAAGCAAGCUUUAUUCUCUAUGGAUAGUAAUAGAGCCCCUGGGCCCGAUAAUGUCCCAGCAGAAUUCUAUCAAUUUUGUUGGGAUGUUGUAAAGCAAGAUAUUAUGAAUCUAUUCAUAGCUUUUCAUGAAGGCUCCCUUAAUGUAGAGAGACUGAAUUAUGGGACUAUUACACUGAUUCCUAAGAUCAAUAGAGCGAAAAUAAUUCAAGAGUUUCGACCCAUUUGCCUGUUGCGUUGUCCUUAUAAGCUUAUAACAAAAGUGUUGGAUAACAGAGUGGCGAUGUUUGCUCAUAAACUUAUCAACCGUCCCCGGAAUGCUUUUAUUAAAAAACACAAUGUUAUGGAUGGGAUUCUGACGUUGCAUGGGUUAUUGCAUCAUACUCAAGCCAAGAAAAAAGUGGGGAUUGUCAUUAAACUUGACUACGAGAAGGCAUACGACAAGGUUAACUAG
Molecule: ribosomal RNA, 993 nt
Filed under: Triticum aestivum (bread wheat)
Lineage: Eukaryota; Viridiplantae; Streptophyta; Magnoliopsida; Poales; Poaceae
Description: partial small subunit ribosomal RNA
Source: RNAcentral